RNAcentral lists this long non-coding RNA (716 nucleotides) under Salmo salar (Atlantic salmon). RNAcentral describes it as "lncRNA (ENSSSAG00000092309.1)". The record is from RNAcentral. Lineage: Eukaryota; Metazoa; Chordata; Actinopteri; Salmoniformes; Salmonidae.
CAGGUGUGCCUGUGGAGAGCUUGUCUGUGUGAAGAGCCUGUCUGCAUGUACAACGAAUUUUUGACAGAAAUGGUAGAAAGUCUGCCAAGGGACUAUUUGUUCAGAGUGAACAAAAGUGAGGAAACGUUUGAAAGUGUUGCAAAAGCCCUUAGCAGGUUCUACAGGGAGAACUGUAAGAAGGACUUCAAAUGCAAAGAUUACACUGAAGACAAAAGAAAUUCAGCAGUAUGUUACUUACUGGAAUGUCUGGAUGGGGAGGAACCUGAGUGUGUCUCCAAUGUCAGAUACAGUCUAGCUGAGGUAGAGUUGGUCAGUUUGAAAGGCUUCAAGUGUCUGGUUAAAGAUGCAUUCAAUCACAAAUAUAAUUCAUUACAACAAGUCAGAGAACAAGAUAAAGAAUGUGAUGAUGUUUUUGUUGAUGCAGUGUGAUGCCAAAAAGCAACUACACUUGGGAAGGUCAUAUCAGUCAGUACGUUGUUAGCUAUCUCUCUGAUAGCUAAUAUCAUCCUUCUCUUGGGUGUUGUCUACUUGUGGACCUGGGGGAAACGCCAGCAUGAAGGCGUGUCCCCUGCAAUUCCUGAACUGACAGUAUUGAAUGCAGUAGAGGUACAUAUUCUGAUGCAGAACGGCAACGGAGAUGCUCUGCAGCACUGACCCCGUUCAGAGGAAUAAUCCAUCUCUCUUCCAUCUGCCGCCAUUUUCCCCUCGCUUUCCCA